This 872-nucleotide long non-coding RNA is filed under the name Glycine max (soybean). Its description in RNAcentral is "long non-coding RNA (GMAX_LNC004393)". Lineage: Eukaryota; Viridiplantae; Streptophyta; Magnoliopsida; Fabales; Fabaceae. The record is from RNAcentral.
AUCACAAAGUAUUCCUGAGCAUAUUAACACAACCAAUCAUCAAUCAACACUUGUUAACGUCUGUAGGCGAUCGUGUUACAUACUAUAAUUAUUUAUUACUUCAAACGUGGCAGAGUUACAUAUAUAAUGCUUGCAAAAGUCAUGAGUGGUUUGAAUACGUCGACCAUCCAGUGCCAGAGCACAGUCACGAACAUUUUAUGGUCCCUCAUUUUUAGUAUUAAUUUUGUCCGUCUCUAGAAGAAGAAUAUUUUAUGGUUAAUAAUAACAAAGAUUCAAUGAACGUUUUCAUACUAGAAGUUGCUAUAUAGAUAGUCAAGAUGAUGAAGUGUCCUAAUCCUCCCGGAUGCUGCCCAUAGUAUGAUAUGAUAUUAUGAUGGUAAUGGUGUAAUGUAAAAAUAUAUAUAUAUGGUCCAACUAAUGUGAGGUUGAGAAAAAACAGUCCCAUAUUCUUGUUUCAUGUUGUCUCGCAUUUGCCAUGGAAAACUUGAUUUGGUUGGAUAAUCUCAACUAUUACAGAAAGUUCACAUCUUCUUAAUUAUUCUGUUAUUCUAAAAAUAAAUGGAAGAGUUCAAUGUAUUUUCAUGAGACCUUUCGUUGGUGAUGAAGAUCAAGCAACUUUCAAGAAGAAGAAAAAGACCUAAGUAAAAUAACCCCUCAAUUAAGCCAACAACAGACUUUAAGAAAAUAAAAGCUAAAAGGGAAAAGUCUACAAUUAGGCUAAUAAUACUUAUGAGGAAAAAUUAAAGAGACCUAAGAAGCAUCUAAAGAUAAUCAACACAUACCAGCUCAAGCCCAAGGUGGGAGAAGAAGAUCCUAAGAUGUUAGGUGCAGAUGCUUCUAGUGGAAAAAGGUCCAACUUGGAGACUUAUGGC